UAUUAAAAAAUUAAUCUAUUUCUAUAGUUAAAAACUAGUGUGAUUAAUAAAAUAAUUAACCAGUUAUACUUAAUGUGCCACAUGUACUUCAUUCUGAUGUAUAUGAAUUAAUUUUUAAUAGUAAAAAUUAAUGAAUUUUUCAAUA
RNAcentral lists this microRNA precursor (145 nucleotides) under Gossypium arboreum. RNAcentral describes it as "MIR7502 microRNA precursor family". It matches the Rfam family "MIR7502 microRNA precursor family". Lineage: Eukaryota; Viridiplantae; Streptophyta; Magnoliopsida; Malvales; Malvaceae. The record is from Rfam by way of RNAcentral.